CGGCGCGCGGUCUCGGCAGUCGCCGAACUUCACUGUCAACUGACGUCUGCUGGGCUUGACUAGGGAAAAAGCUCCCUCUGGGCUGCCAGAGUGCCCGAAUUGGGUGCUGCAAAGUGCCCCAGCGCCUGCCGGACAAAUGGAAGGAAAGAUUUUUGGAAGCAGCUUCUUGUGUCCGACCCGCUGUGAUCAGCUGCUACUCCCAGGUCUG
This 208-nucleotide long non-coding RNA is filed under the name Homo sapiens (human). RNAcentral's name for it is "HSALNT0332464". The record is from RNAcentral. Lineage: Eukaryota; Metazoa; Chordata; Mammalia; Primates; Hominidae.